Molecule: long non-coding RNA, 218 nt
Filed under: Amborella trichopoda
Lineage: Eukaryota; Viridiplantae; Streptophyta; Magnoliopsida; Amborellales; Amborellaceae
Description: long non-coding RNA (ATRI_LNC000391)
Source: RNAcentral
UUUUUUUGUAACCCAUGAUAGAAUUUUUUGUAAUCCAUGAUCGAAUGUUUUGUAAUACAUGAUCGAAAUGUUUGUUUUUUUUUGUAAUCCAUGAUCGAAAUGUUUGUUUUUUUUUUUGUAAUCCAUGAUUGAAUUUUUUGUUUUUUGCUUUUUUUGUAACCCAUGAUAGAGUUUUUUGUAAUUCUUGAUUGAAUUUUUUGUAAUCCAUGAUCGAACUA